Molecule: long non-coding RNA, 493 nt
Filed under: Marmota monax (woodchuck)
Lineage: Eukaryota; Metazoa; Chordata; Mammalia; Rodentia; Sciuridae
Source: RNAcentral
GCCUGGCAUGUUUUGGCAGGACUUUACCUGGUUUGCGUAAUCUACAUUGACUUCUAGUUUCAACAAGAAUUGUUUACAUGCAUUUAAUUUUAGCUCUUGGGCUAUAUAACAUGUCAUUGUUCUUUUUACUUAUCUCCUCCCCUUACUUUUGGAAACAGGACAGGCAUCUUCAAUACUGGCUGUUCCCGUUUGGUGUGCUCUUAGAUUGAUUUUAGCUUGCUCUUCAGCUUUCUUAUUUUCCAGCCAUAUUUCCUGUAUAAGAAAAUAGAGACUAUGUUGCCAGAGAGAGAAAUGGAGAUUGGUGGGGACAUUAUUUAAUCAUUCAGAGAACUGAUAUUCUGGUUUGAAAGGAAAUUAAAGCAAGGUAUUUGGAUUAAGUGAUACUAUUUGAUUUUCUUAUAUUCAAUUUACAGGACAGUGCAUUCAGCUUUUAAUUAGUUUUACCUGCUUCUCCUACAGUGAAUCUAAUAAACACACAUAUAUUGGGGCUUAC